RNAcentral lists this non-coding RNA (23 nucleotides) under Arabidopsis thaliana (thale cress). Lineage: Eukaryota; Viridiplantae; Streptophyta; Magnoliopsida; Brassicales; Brassicaceae. The record is from RNAcentral.
GUAGGUUCUUAGCCGGCGUUGGA